RNAcentral lists this ribosomal RNA (433 nucleotides) under uncultured bacterium. Its description in RNAcentral is "bacterial SSU rRNA". It matches the Rfam family "Bacterial small subunit ribosomal RNA", at positions 29 to 506 of the family's 1533-position model. The record is from RNAcentral.
GCGAACGCUGGCGGCAGGCCUAACACAUGCAAGUCGAGCGGCCGUAGCAAUACGGCAGCGGCAGACGGGAGGGUAACACGUGGGAACGCGCCCUUUGGUUCGGAAUAACUCAGGGAAACUUGAGCUAAUACCGGAUAAGCCCUUACGGGGAAAGAUUUAUCGCCAAAGGAACGGCCCGCGUCCGAUUAGCUAGUUGGUGAGGUAACGGCUCACCAAGGCGACGAUCGUUAGCUGGUCUGAGAGGAUGACCAGCCUCACCGGGACUGAGACACGGCCCAGACUCCUACGGGAGGCAGCCGUGGGGAAUCUUGCACAAUGGGCGCAAGCCUGAUGCAGCCAUGCCGCGUGAGUGAUGAAGGCCUUAGGGUUGUAAAGCUCUUUUAGCAGGGAAGAUAAUGACGGUACCUGCAGAAAAAGCCCCGGCUAACUUCGU